UGGGGAAUUUUGGACAAUGGGGGAAACCCUGAUCCAGCCAUCCCGCGUGUGCGAUGAAGGCCUUCGGGUUGUAAAGCACUUUUGGCAGGAAAGAAACGUCGCGGGUUAAUACCCCGCGAAACUGACGGUACCUGCAGAAUAAGCACCGGCUAACUACGUGCCAGCAGCCGCGGUAAUACGUAGGGUGCAAGCGUUAAUCGGAAUUACUGGGCGUAAAGCGUGCGCAGGCGGUUCGGAAAGAAAGAUGUGAAAUCCCAGAGCUUAACUUUGGAACUGCAUUUUUAACUACCGGGCUAGAGUGUGUCAGAGGGAGGUGGAAUUCCGCGUGUAGCAGUGAAAUGCGUAGAUAUGCGGAGGAACACCGAUGGCGAAGGCAGCCUCCUGGGAUAACACUGACGCUCAUGCACGAAAGCGUGGGGAGCAAACAGGAUUAGAUACCCUGGUAGUCCACGCCCUAAACGAUGUCAACUAGCUGUUGGGGGCCUUCGGGCCUUGGUAGCGCAGCUAACGCGUGAAGUUGACCGCCUGGGGAGUACGGUCGCAAGGUUAAAACUUAAAGGAAUUGACGGGGUCAUAGCUGUUU
This 583-nucleotide ribosomal RNA is filed under the name uncultured bacterium. RNAcentral's name for it is "partial 16S ribosomal RNA". It matches the Rfam family "Bacterial small subunit ribosomal RNA", at positions 355 to 935 of the family's 1533-position model. The record is from RNAcentral.